This 1354-nucleotide ribosomal RNA is filed under the name uncultured bacterium. RNAcentral's name for it is "bacterial SSU rRNA". It matches the Rfam family "Bacterial small subunit ribosomal RNA", at positions 28 to 1381 of the family's 1533-position model. The record is from RNAcentral.
GACGAACGCUGGCGGCGUGCUUAACACAUGCAAGUCGAACGGAAAGGCCUGCCACCUUGGUGGUGGGUACUCGAGUGGCGAACGGGUGAGUAACACGUGGGUGAUCUGCCCCGCACUGUGGGAUAAGCCUGGGAAACUGGGACUAAUACCACAUACGACCACACUGUAGACAGUGUGGUGGAAAGCCUUGUGCGGUGUGGGAUGAGCCCGCGGCCUAUCAGCUUGUUGGUGGGGUAAUGGCCUACCAAGGCGGCGACGGGUAGCCGGACUGAGAGGGUGGACCGCCACAUUGGGACUGAGACACGGACCAGACUCCUACGGGAGGCAGCAGUGGGGAAUAUUGCACAAUGGGCGCAAGCCUGAUGCAGCCACGCCGCGUGGGGGAUGAAAGGCCUUCGGAUUGUAAACUCCUUUCGCCCGGGACGAACCCCACCUGGUGGGUGACGGCACCGUGGAGAAGAAGCACCGGCUAACUACAUGUCAGCAGCCGCGGUAAUACGUAUGGUGCAAGCGUUGUCCUGAUUUACUGGGCGUAAAGAGCUCGUAUGUGGUGUGUCGCGUCGUCUGUGAAAUUCCGGUGCUUAACUCCGGGCGUGCAAGCGAUACUGACACUACUAGAGUGCUGUAGGAAAGUGGAAUUCCUAGUGUAGCGGUGAAAUGCGUAGAUAUUAGGAAGAACACCAGUGGCGAAGGCGACUUUCUGGACGAAAACUGACGCUGAGGCGCGAAAGCCAGGGGAGCGAACGGGAUUAGAUACCCCGGUAGUCCUGGCCGUAAACGAUGGGUACUAGGUGUAGGAGGUAUCGACCCCUUCUGUGCCGGAGUUAACGCAAUAAGUACCCCGCCUGGGGAGUACGACCGCAAGGUUGAAACUCAAAGGAAUUGACGGGGGCCCGCACAAGCGGUGGAGUAUGUGGUUUAAUUCGACGCAACGCGAAGAACCUUACCAGGUCUUGACAUUGAUGGACAGAGCCAGAGAUGGUUCCUCUUCUUCGGAAGCCAGAAAACAGGUGGUGCACGGUUGUCGUCAGCUCGUGUCGUGAGAUGUUGGGUUAAGUCCCGCAACGAGCGCAACCCCUAUCUUAUGUUGCCAGCACUUCGGGUGGGAACUCAUGAGAGACUGCCGCAGACAAUGCGGAGGAAGGCGGGGAUGACGUCAAAUCAUCAUGCCCCUUAUGACCUGGGCUACACACGUAGUACAAUGGGAGUUAAUAGACGGAAGCAAUACCGCGAGGUGGAGCAAACCCGAGAAACACUCUCUCAGUUCGGAUCGUAGGCUGCAAUUCGCUUACGUGAAGUGGGAAUCGUUAGUAAUCGCAGGUCAGCAUACUGCGGUGAAUACGUUCCCGGGCCU